This is a long non-coding RNA of Nerophis ophidion (straightnose pipefish), 1955 nucleotides long. RefSeq lists it as uncharacterized. The record is from RefSeq and is a predicted model, not a curated record. Lineage: Eukaryota; Metazoa; Chordata; Actinopteri; Syngnathiformes; Syngnathidae. The transcript is spliced from 3 exons.
ACCUCAUGUUGACCAUCCUUCUGUUUUCUUACAGACAAAGUAUCCAAACCCAACAUAUCCUGUGAGAUGAGCGACACAAAGCAGGCGACACUUGUGUGCUCAACAGAGUCCAAACAUCCUCAUUUAUUAAAGUUGAAGUGGAGCUCACCAGGAAAGGAGCAGACUGGACCAAAUUUAACAAUAACUGUCAGGAAUGAAGAUGAUGAUCAAGUUUAUCGUUGUGAUGUCAGCAACCCUCUGACCAAUGAAACGGCUUCAUUCACCGCUAAGGACUGCUUCCCGGGUAAAAGAUCAGAGGCUCUACCAAUUUUCAUAUUAGUCUGUAUCUUCACUCUGGUCAUCAUCUGGUGUUGUGCUUUAUACUUCAAACGUCAACGUCUAAAAGGAUUGAACGUGUCGACUGAGGAUGAGGAGAUGGAUUCAGAAGGAGCCAUGCGACACACUGCUUCUGUUCAUGCACGUCAUUGCUCUUCAACACACUUAAACUCAAUCACUGGGAGGGGGGAGUCUGCAUACAGAAAUGAGGGUACUGUGUGGCACUGAACACCACAAAAACCAAGGGACUCAUCUUUGACUUCAGGAAAAACACCGCCCCUUUCUACAUCAACGGCGAGCAGGUGGAGAGAGUCAGCUCUUUCAGGUUCCUCGGCACCCCCAUAUCUGCUGACCUCUCCUGGACCCCAAAUACAACUGCGGUCAUCCGGAAGGCCCAGCGGAGACUCCACUUCCUGAGGAUGCUGAGGAAGAAAAAACUGGAUGGUGACCUUCUAUCGCUCGGCUGUCGGGAGCCCGCUGACGUACUGCAUAACAGUGUGGUACGCCAGCCGCACUGAAGCAGACAAAAAGGCGAUUCAGAGGGUCAGAAACUCUGCACAAAAAAAUAAUCGGCUGCCCCCCUGCCUUCCCUGAACGAUUUACACAACUCCCGUUGCCUCAACAAAGCAAAACACAUUACCAAGGACAGCACACACCCUGGCUUCCACCUGUUCCACCUGCUACCACCAGGCAGCCGCUACAGGUGCAUCAGAGCCAUGACAAACAGGCUCAGAGACAGCUUCACCAUCUUCAACUCAACCUUAUAAUAAAUGAUUCACCCCUACACAGCAUCCUACCCUGAUACCCUACUGUGCAAUAUUACCCUUUGAGUGCAAUACGUCCGACACCGAUUAUCAUUACUUAUUACUCCAAUACUCUUGUUUUGCUCUGUAUAUUGUACAGUAUUGUGUAUAUUGUAUAUUGUACAGUAUUGUGUAUAUUGUAUAUUGUACAGGAUUGCCUAUUGUUUUUAUUGGAUAGUAGUCUGUUUAUUUCAAUUCUUAUUUUGUAUCUUUAUUACUUCUUAUGUGAUUUAUUUUCAUUCCAUAUUUCUUUCCACUGCCACAUCUUAAAUUGGAGUCCUUAAUCUCAUUAUAUGCAAAUAUAAUGACAAUAAAGUCCAUUCUAUUCUAUUGUAACCCCUGUGCCACCGUGCAUCAACUUACAAUAUUCUAACAUCCCUCCCCAGAAGAAUAGGCCAUUUUCCACAAGGAACUUUUUCAGGAACUUUCCCACUUACCCGAGUACAUAAAGUGUAGUAAAUGAAUGAAUGAAUGAUGGAGUCUCACUUCUCUGUGAAGCACUUUGAGUGUCAAGAAACACGCUACUGUAUAUAAAUCUAAUCCAUUAUUAAAGCUUAUUUACCUGAUGUUGUAUACUUUUACUAUUUACAUUAAAUAUCCACGGAAUGUAAUAUAAAUAUAACAUCUCAGAUUAUAUUUGUCAUUUCAGAGCCAGGACUAUUUCCUGAGCUCUGUCUUAUAAAUUUAAAUUGAAGGUCAUCAAAUGUGUCAUGCUGUAGAUUUCAGUGUUUGUUUAUUAAGUUUCUAUUAGAUAUAUGAUGUACAGUAUCAUAUACAUUAACAUGACAGAUCAUGUACAUUUGUGAUGUAAUCAAAUAAACUGAUGUCUGACGCUCA